This 253-nucleotide ribosomal RNA is filed under the name uncultured bacterium. RNAcentral describes it as "partial 16S ribosomal RNA". It matches the Rfam family "Bacterial small subunit ribosomal RNA", at positions 524 to 776 of the family's 1533-position model. The record is from RNAcentral.
UACGUAGGUGGCAAGCGUUGUCCGGAAUUAUUGGGCGUAAAGCGCGCGCAGGCGGUUUUAUAAGUCUGAUGUGAAAGCCCACGGCUCAACCGUGGAAGGUCAUUGGAAACUGGUAAACUUGAGUGCAGAAGAGAAAAGUGGAAUUCCUAGUGUAGCGGUGAAAUGCGUAGAGAUAAGGAGGAACACCAGUGGCGAAGGCGACUUUCUGGUCUGUAACUGACGCUGAUGUGCGAAAGCGUGGGGAGCAAACAGG